RNAcentral lists this ribosomal RNA (494 nucleotides) under uncultured soil bacterium. Its description in RNAcentral is "bacterial SSU rRNA". It matches the Rfam family "Bacterial small subunit ribosomal RNA", at positions 26 to 526 of the family's 1533-position model. The record is from RNAcentral.
AGGACGAACGCUGGCGGCGUGCUUAACACAUGCAAGUCGAGCGGUAAGGCUCCUUCGGGAGUACACGAGCGGCGAACGGGUGAGUAACACGUGAGCAAUCUGCCCUUCACAUCGGGAUAACCCCCGGAAACGGGAGCUAAUACCGGAUACGACCACUUCAGGCAUCUGAUGGUGGUGGAAAGUUCUGGCGGUGAAGGAUGAGCUCGCGGCCUAUCAGCUAGUUGGUGAGGUAAUGGCCCACCAAGGCUUCGACGGGUAGCCGGCCUGGAGAGGGUGACCGGCCACACUGGGACUGAGACACGGCCCAGACUCCUACGGGAGGCAGCAGUGGGGAAUAGUUGGACAAGUGGGACGAAAGCCUAGAUCCAGCAACGCCGCGUGAGGAUGACGGCCGUUCGGGUUGUAAACCUCUUUCAGCGCGAGACGAAGCGAAGUGACGGUAUGCGCAGAAGAAGCACCGGCCAACGUACGUGCCAGCACGCCGACGGUAAUCC